AACGCUGGCGGCGUGCUAAUACAUGCAAGUAGAACGCUGAAGGAGGAGCUUGCUCUUCUGGAAGAGUUGCGAACGGGUGAGUAACGCGUAGGUAACCUGCCUGGUAGCGGGGGAUAACUAUUGGAAACGAUAGCUAAUACCGCAUAAGAUUGAAUAUCGCAUGAUAAUUGAUUAAAAGAUGCAAAUGCAUCACUACCAGAUGGACCUGCGUUGUAUUAGCUAGUAGGUGAGGUAACGGCUCACCUAGGCGACGAUACAUAGCCGACCUGAGAGGGUGAUCGGCCACACUGGGACAGAGACACGGCCCAGACUCCUACGGGAGGCAGCAGUAGGGAAUCUUCGGCAAUGGGGGCAACCCUGACCGAGCAACGCCGCGUGAGUGAAGAAGGUUUUCGGAUCGUAAAGCUCUGUUGUAAGAGAAGAACGAGUGUGAGAGUGGAAAGUUCACACUGUGACGGUAUCUUACCAGAAAGGGACGGCUAACUACGUGCCAGCAGCCGCGGUAAUACGUAGGUCCCGAGCGUUGUCCGGAUUUAUUGGGCGUAAAGCGAGCGCAGGCGGUUAGAUAAGUCUGAAGUUAAAGGCUGUGGCUUAACCAUAGUACGCUUUGGAAACUGUUUAACUUGAGUGCAGAAGGGGAGAGUGGAAUUCCAUGUGUAGCGGUGAAAUGCGUAGAUAUAUGGAGGAACACCGGUGGCGAAAGCGGCUCUCUGGUCUGUAACUGACGCUGAGGCUCGAAAGCGUGGGGAGCGAACAGGAUUAGAUACCCUGGUAGUCCACGCCGUAAACGAUGAGUGCUAGGUGUUAGGCCCUUUCCGGGGCUUAGUGCCGUAGCUAACGCAUUAAGCACUCCGCC
RNAcentral lists this ribosomal RNA (856 nucleotides) under uncultured Streptococcus sp. RNAcentral's name for it is "bacterial SSU rRNA". It matches the Rfam family "Bacterial small subunit ribosomal RNA", at positions 32 to 873 of the family's 1533-position model. Lineage: Bacteria; Bacillati; Bacillota; Bacilli; Lactobacillales; Streptococcaceae. The record is from RNAcentral.